GAUGAACGCUGGCGGCGUGCCUAAUACAUGCAAGUCGAGCGAACAGAUGAGGAGCUUGCUCCUCUGACGUUAGCGGCGGACGGGUGAGUAACACGUGGAUAACCUACCUAUAAGACUGGGAUAACUUCGGGAAACCGGAGCUAAUACCGGAUAAUAUAUUGAACCGCAUGGUUCAAUAGUGAAAGACGGUUUUGCUGUCACUUAUAGAUGGAUCCGCGCUGGAUUAGCUGGUUGGUAAGGUAACGGCUUACCAAGGCGACGAUGCGUAGCCGACCUGAGAGGCUGAUCGGCCACACUGGAACUUGGACACGGUCCAGACUCCUACGGGAGGCAGCAGUAGGGAAUCGUCCGCAAUGGGCGAAAGCCUGACGGAGCAGCGCCGCGUGAGUGAUGAAGGUCUUCGGAUCGUAAAACUCUGUUAUUAGGUAAGAACAGAUGUGUAAGUAACUAUGGACGUCGUGACGGUACCGAAUCAAAAAGCCACGGCUAACUACGUG
This 497-nucleotide ribosomal RNA is filed under the name uncultured bacterium. Its description in RNAcentral is "partial 16S ribosomal RNA". It matches the Rfam family "Bacterial small subunit ribosomal RNA", at positions 28 to 507 of the family's 1533-position model. The record is from RNAcentral.